Molecule: ribosomal RNA, 440 nt
Filed under: uncultured bacterium
Lineage: Bacteria
Description: partial 16S ribosomal RNA
Rfam family: Bacterial small subunit ribosomal RNA
Source: RNAcentral
CCUACGGGAGGCAGCAGUGGGGAAUAUUGCACAAUGGGGGAAACCCUGAUGCAGCGACGCCGCGUGAGUGAAGAAGUAUUUCGGUACGUAAAGCUCUAUCAGCAGGGAAGAAAAUGACGGUACCUGACUAAGAAGCCCCGUCUAACUACGUGCAAGCAGCCGCGGUAAUACGUAGGGGGCAAGCGUUAUCCGGAUUUACUGGGUGUAAAGGGAGCGUAGACGGCAGCGCAAGUCUGGAGUGAAAUCCCAUGGCUUAACCAUGGAACUGCUUUGGAAACUGUGCAGCUAGAGUGCAGGAGAGGUAAGCGGAAUUCCUAGUGUAGCGGUGAAAUGCGUAGAUAUUAGGAGGAACACCAGUGGCGAAGGCGGCUUACUGGACUGUAACUGACGUUGAGGCUUGAAAGCGUGGGGAGCAAACAGGAUUAGAUACCCCUGUAGUC